CGCGUAGGCUGUUUUUCAAGUCAUUUGUGAAAACCUCAGGCUUAACUUGAGGACUGCAUAUGAAACUGAAAAACUUGAGUGCAGUAGGGGAAAGUGGAAUUCCUGGUGUAGCGGUGAAAUGCGCAGAUAUCAGGAAGAACACCGGUAGCGAAGGCGGCUUUCUGGGCUGCUACUGACGCUGAGGCGCGAAAGCUAGGGGAGCGAACAGGAUUAGAUACCCUGGUAGUCC
This 229-nucleotide ribosomal RNA is filed under the name uncultured bacterium. RNAcentral's name for it is "partial 16S ribosomal RNA". It matches the Rfam family "Bacterial small subunit ribosomal RNA", at positions 568 to 796 of the family's 1533-position model. The record is from RNAcentral.